This 622-nucleotide long non-coding RNA is filed under the name Apteryx rowi (Okarito brown kiwi). RNAcentral's name for it is "lncRNA (ENSARWG00000008595.1)". The record is from RNAcentral. Lineage: Eukaryota; Metazoa; Chordata; Aves; Apterygiformes; Apterygidae.
CGCGGCGCGGGCCGCGGCCGGGGCGGAGGGCGGCCUCGGCGGGGCAGCUCCCCCCCUUCCCCCCCUCCCCACACACAACCGCCCCCGGUAACGGCCGCCGCGCGCCGGGGCCCAGGGCCAGGUCCCCCUUCCAAAAUGCCUUUGCUUGAAAAGCAAGAAAAUGGUGAGCAGGUGUUGAUGAAAAAUGAAAGCUAUUUGCAAAUCUUGAAAAAUAAGGAUCAGAGAAAGAGACUUGUCCAUGAAAUCUGUUCCUUUUUAGACAGCAGUCAGUCUGUCCAAGAAAUUAAUGCUUUGAGGACAGAAAAUAGGAAGCUAAAAAAUGCGAACUCAAGACUGCGAUAUAAAACAAAAGCAGAUAAGAGGAUACCAAGGGAACAGACCAAACAUGCGAGCACUCAGACAGAGGGCGCCUACAGAGCGGAAGAAAGGACUGUUGCAACUCAGACAGGUGAAGAAAGCUCAAGGAUGACUUUGGAUGGUGGAAGAGCAGUUUAAUGUCAACGUGACUUGUUGCUGGACAACAUAAUGUUUGACAUUGUUUCAAAUUUCAGUCUUAAGAAUAUAUUCAAAUAUAUAUAUUUAUAUAAAUAAAAAUCUAUUUAAUCUUACUAAUAAUUAUUCU